RNAcentral lists this ribosomal RNA (253 nucleotides) under uncultured bacterium. Its description in RNAcentral is "partial 16S ribosomal RNA". It matches the Rfam family "Bacterial small subunit ribosomal RNA", at positions 524 to 776 of the family's 1533-position model. The record is from RNAcentral.
GACGAACCGAGCGAACGUUGUUCGGAAUCACUGGGCUUAAAGGGCGCGUAGGCGGGUUCUCAAGUCUGGGGUGAAAUCCCACAGCUCAACUGUGGAACUGCCUCGGAUACUGGGGGCCUCGAGGGUGGUAGGGGUAUGCGGAACUAUCGGUGGAGCGGUGAAAUGCGUUGAUAUCGAUAGGAACGCCGGUGGCGAAGGCGGCAUACUGGACCACAUCUGACGCUGAGGCGCGAAAGCCAGGGGAGCAAACGGG